This is a long non-coding RNA of Psammomys obesus (fat sand rat), 604 nucleotides long. RefSeq lists it as uncharacterized. The record is from RefSeq and is a predicted model, not a curated record. The transcript has 3 exons. NCBI's taxonomy places the organism in Eukaryota, Metazoa, Chordata, Mammalia, Rodentia, Muridae.
CAGUGGCCCCCUGGACGCCCCACCUCCACACUGGGAUGUUUCCUUGCUCUUUGAGAGUUCAGGGGGAUGCACUGGAGAGGCUCUAGCGUCCAACGAACUGGAGGGGCCCCAGGUCGGUGCUCAGAGGUCUACACAGCCUGGCCGAGUGUCAGGGAGCCUCGUUUCCCACGACCCGGCUCGCUCGAGGACGUGCCUCGCCUCGUGGGGUUUCCCGGCUUGGCACGCCUGCGUCACACGCAUCGCUGCUCUGAAGGGCAGGAGUUUGACGCUCACAGGAAAGAGCCCGCAAGUCUCCUAAGCCGCGGGCCUGGGAAGAAAUCUGGGCUGGUGCGUGUGUAAGUGCCUGGAGCAAGAGCCAAAAAAGGCACAGGUGUCCUUGAGAGAAGAUGAGACUGUGAAUGGAGAAACAGUCCUCUGCAGGUAUGCCCUGGAGUCACAGCAGACAGACACACGAACAGCCGAGCAGCCGGGACUGCUUGCCCGUGACUGGCUGCCACCUCCAGCAAAGAGAAGGACGACAGAAGAAGCCUCCUCCCCAAAUCUUCAGUAGCUGGCACCCCCCAUCCCAUAGUCCAGUUUGUACUUCUGCCCCAUGCAAGUAUUU